CGGGUUUUAAUGAAAAUGGUUGAGUUUAUUGUGAGUGGAGAAAUAGUCCCACUAAAAAGAUAGUAUUGAUAAUAAUAAUUAAAUGUAUUGUGAAUGGGGAUAAGGGGCCCACCAUGUGAUAGAAAGUUGUCAAAAGUGAAAAGAGACUAAUUUUUGUGGAAGUCCCAAAAUUGCAAAAAGAGACUAUUUUUUGUGGACUGAGGGAGUAUAACGAAUUAUAACUAAUUAUACAUCGUUAUGGCCUUGAUGUGCCCCCACAGAUUCUUCGCAUCCAGAUUCUCGCAUUUAUGGAUCCGGAGAUGUUUGAGGUGCGGCAUUCCACCUUCUUCUAUAUCGAUACUUCUCAACUCAGACAUGUUCCGGAGGGAGAGGCCCUCGAGGCGGGGGAACCCGUCACGCAACACUUUCAUGCUCCGAUGCUCGUAAGCAUAUUCAGAUAACUUGAGAUACUGCAGCUUCGGCAGCUUACCCAAUUCCGGCAUCGGAUCCUUAAUUAGCUUUGCAUACUCCAACGUAAGGUGAGUAAGAUUUGGAGGGAAUUUACUCGCAUCCGGACAUCCAUGCAUCUUACCGUGUAGUUUGAGUUUUGUGAUGCUGCCGAGCUGGGGAAUGAUGUUUGAGUUGAACGACAAUGAGUUGCAUUUUAGGUGUAGUUCCACAAGAUUCGUCAUCUUCUCCAACGAUGCUCUCGCCAUGCUCAAAUCCUUAUUUCCUUCCAUUCCAUUCAUAUGUAUUCCCAAUUCGCGAACACGACAACUUGCCAUUAGUUUUGAGCUGCAUUCUAGCCAAUCCUUUAGCCUCAUGCCUUUCACACUCUCAAUAUUUUUCCAAUUCUCGAUGCUCAUUGGUUUGCCCAAGACGCUGUAUAGUGGAAGUGACGAGUUUUUCCAUUUCCAGUGCAACAUUCGGGAACACUAUCACCUCUUCUCUACGUCAAGCACCUCGAGGUUUUUCAAGUCCUUCAACCAGCUUGGGAGCUUCAAUACGUAACGCAAGAAAUACCGUUGUCUAUGUAUUCUCAAGUACUUCAAUCCAAUCAAUAGCCGAAAAGAGUCGGGCAAUCUCUGAAACGCAAAGCCGUCAAGGUCGAGCAUCUUAAGGAGUUGAAAGCUCUUCCAGUAGUCAGAUGGAGUAGUCAUAUAAACAUUUCCAUCACCAUUGAGAUUAAAUAGGAAAAGAGAGCGAAGAUGCUUAUUCUGAUUUGUCGAGCGAUUCUCAAUAUUUUUGCCAUAGACAACACGAUGACGAGGUUUAUACGAGGAUUGUGAUGAAAAACCCUCCUCCCCCUUUACAAUCUCCAAGCCUAUUUCCUCCUUUGCUUUUCUUAAACAUACCUCGCGAAGAAGAUCAUGGAGGCGACAAGUCCCUACCCGAUUAUCAAUGGUUAGAUCCUCAACUUGAAGCAUGCUUCGAUUGAUCAACUCAUUUAAAUAACCUCUUGCUAUCUCAUUUGUUGUUCUGGUUCCUUCCUGUUGGAUCAAGCCUAGUCCAACCCAUAUAUUUAUCAGCCUUUUUGCCGGUAUAGUAAAGUCUUCCUUGAAAAAAGCUAGACACAAGAAGCAUGAUUUUAGUUGCGGAGACAAAUUGUGAUAACUCAACUCCAAAAUUGUUGGUACGCUGCUUUCAGUCCUUCCUAAAUAAGAGUUAAUUUGGUUAAGAACUUGUUCCCACCCACUCUUGCUUUGUGUUUCCACAAGUAGGCCUCUUACCACACUAAUAGCUAAUGGUAGACCACGACAUCUUUCCACGAUUUGUCUGCCUAUGGUCUCAAACUCUUCUGGAUAUUUUCCAUUAGCAUUUCUAAUGAAUGCAUUCUUCAAGAGCAAUUCCCAGCUCUUCUCGCGAUCGAGAAGCUUCAUCGUGUGCACAUAUUGAUCAUACUUUGUAAUAAUCUUGUUGCGAGUUGUAACCAAUAAUCUACUCCUUUUAUCUGUGAGAGAAGAGGUAAUUAAGUAUAAGAACAUGAGUUGAGAGAUGAGUGAUUCAUAUUCGUUCACCAAGAACAUGAAUGCCACUUGAAGAAUCAAUCCUGUAUAUAUAUAUAAAUUCUACUAAGUGCUUGUUUGGUCCAAGUAGAUGAAUGGAAAGGGAAUAUGUACAAGUAAAGGGAGAGAAUGAUAACAAUAACUAUUGUUUUUAUUGAGUGUUUGGUUUAACAAUGGAAAUGAAUCAUUAAUAAGAGGAUUCACUUUCUUUUAUUUCCCCUAUAUCUUGAGGGGUAACAAAUUGUAUGACUGGAUUACCCUGAAGUAAUGGUAAUAGUUAACUCAUUACCCAAGCCCAACAAUGGAUUCAAUUUUCAACUUCCAAAAACACCCAACCAAACAUGGGCUAAGUAUAUUUUACAUCUCAUGUUGUUAAUGAAAAAAUUAUUUAUCAUUUUCAAGUUUUUUUAAUAAAGUAUUUGGUCAUUUUUUAAAAAAAUAUAUGAUCAUACACUAAAACUAAAGAACAACCUAUAUAUUAGAGCUUGCUUGUUUGCCAGUAUGAGAUAUAAGCUUGAUAUGUUUAGUUAAAAUUUCUUAUAUAUUGUAUAAGGUAUUAAUAUUAUGUUUGGUUUAGAUGUAUUAAAUUAUUUGUUUUAUAAAUUAAUUAUAGCAGGAGAGUGAAAUUUUGAUAAUUUAAUAUUAAUUUAUAGUAGGAUGAUGAAAUUAUGGUAGUUUAAAAUAUUAAAUAAUAUAUUUAGGAUUUAUAUUACGUAUCCCGCCUAGAAGAUUGUUUACAGAAUCUCAAGAAUCUAUACAAUACAUAUAAGGCCCUAGCUUUAUAAAUGCCUCAUGUUUUGAAGCAAACAUGAUACUCCCUUUACCCCGCUAAAAAUAACUCGUUUCUUUUUUAUACAGAGAUUAAGGAAAAUGUGUAAAUUGGAUAAAGUUGAUACAUAAUUAGGCUAAUUAUUUUGAAUUUCGAUAUUUUUGGGCCACAUUUAAGCCCAAUUCGACGUCUACAUGCUACAUUUAGAGCUAUAUUUGGACUAAAGUAUAUCUGGACCCAAAUGUGAGUCUAUUUAAAACAAUUGAUUAUUUUUACAAGUCUAAAAAAAUUGGCUGCCCCUAAAAUAAGUACCUAAAAAAAAUUAAAACUCACCAUAAUUCUACCAUAAAAAUAGGCCUCUUUCUAACAUUUCAUAAAAUCAAUCCACCAACAAGCACAAAUUAGGAAAGGAAAAAAUAGAGUGGUCACCUUGUUGAUUUGGGAAAGCACUCAUGAGAGAUUCUAAAAUGUUCCUUCUCCCAAACAUCAUCCAGAACAAUGAAAUAUGACAUGCCAUCCAAUUGCUUAUGAAGCAUUUGCUUAAGCUCCUCUUGGACAAAUGGUUUAUCCUUCAUCAACUCCUCCAAAUUCUUCAUUUUCUUAAGCAGCUUGUUUUUGACUUGAUCAGAUCUUUGCAUCUGGAAGAUCAGCUGUUUGAUCGUCUCCCGUGGCGUAAAUUCGCUCGACACCACGACCCAGCCACGGCUGUCGAAUCUACCCACGACGUCGCAGUGGUUGUAUAUUGCUCGGGCAAGUGUAGAUUUUCCUAUCCCACCCAUCCCCUCUAACACCGCAAUCGAAAGCCCCUUCCUGUCCUCAUUAAGAAUUGAUUCUUCUAGCAAUUUUUGCACAUCCUCUUCGACGCCCACCAGGUGUUCGUCGUUUUUCAUAUGAGACAACCGCCGCCGCGAUUCAGCUUGCAAUCUCCACCCCGAGUCUGCCGUCGCCUCCUUGCCAAAAUCUGUAAUGCCAUACCUCUCGCGGCUCUUGUCAAUGGCGUCGAGCCUAGCACGGAUUGAUUCAAUCUCAUCCCCAAUUCUGUCGAGCCGGUACAUACGCUUCGCGAAGCUAGUGCAUCGCUUGAGAAGCCCCUUGCUCGAGUUCUCAACGUUGAUGAGGAACAUCUCGAUGGUAUCUUCGGCAUCCUGAGCCACCUCUCUGAUCUCCGAUAUCCAAUUAUGCACCCUCUUGUCUUCAAAUUGCUUUUUGUUGGCGUCAUCUAGAAAGGAUUGCAUCCUCUUGAGCUCGGCUUUCAGCGACUCCACCUUUCCCUCGACGCCUCGUAGGAAUUUCACCUUCUGGAUGAGCUGAUCGCCCAGCAGUUCCACCAGAGAUGAGAUCGCCGCUUCUGCCAUGUUGUUGUCGUUCGAUCUCUUGAUUUCAGAAAAUUGCUCUUUACUGGUUUAAGUGAAACAUAUAAGUCAGAUUGGAUAUAUGUGAUAGUGCCACUAAUGGGGGCGAGGUUGCAUACAGAAUGCUAUAUAUUCAGAGAACGGAUAAUAACCAAUAAAUCAAUAAAUUAAAUGAAUAAACCAAUAUAAUUGAAGAACAAACUUAUGUAUCUAUUUAAUAUUGUGAAAAUCUCGCCCGGAGGAGUAUUCGAUGGCACACGAAAAUGCCUGUUCAUAUGGAAUGUUGAUUUAUUCGGAGAAAUUAUUGACUUAUUGAUACACAUUCUCCAUUCUAUAUAGCAUUCUCUCGCCACUGACAUUGCGCAAAUAUUUAUGAAAAUCGAAAAUCGAACCGAACCCCCUCACCCCACAUAAAAAAAUGAUUUGAUUAUCGAUUUAAAAAAAAUUCUAUUUUGUCGUAUUUCGAUCUAUUGGGUAUUUCUCUGACUGAAUCAAAUCGAAAUAACCGAAUGAGCACAUUUUAUUUUUCAAAUAAUACUCCCUCCAUCCCUUAUAAAUAUGCAUAGUUGAUCAGGGCACGAGUUUUAAUAAAAAGUUUGUUAAAGUAUUGAUAGUGGAGAAAUGUUAUCACAUAGAGGGUAUUGUUAAAUUGAUUGUGGGUAAAUAAUUUAAGUUAAAAAGGUAAAAUUGUAAAAUAUUAUGUGUGGGGUAGUGUCCAAUACUAGAGUAUGCAUAAAUUUGAACCAAAAAUUAAAGUUAUGCAUAAAUAAGACGGAGGGAAUACUUAUUUCAAAUUAUAAUAGACAAGUCCUAUUAUUUUUUUGUAUUAUGUUUUUUUUAUUAUUAUUAUAGAUCUUGGGCUUGUUGAAGAUCACUUAUUUUGUUACACUAGUAGAUUUUGAAAAUGAUUAAAAUCAAUUUUUUUUUUAUCAUAAAAAAAUAAAAAAUUCGGAAAUUUUUAAAUAAUUAUACUGGUUUGGUUACUGAAAAAUUUCAGUUUGCUUCAAUUAUUUUCUCGUAAUUUCGGUUAUCAAGCCAAAAUCAAACCGAUAACCGAAUACUCAAUCCUAAUUACCACUCUAUCAUUAUCCAACUACUUCCUUCGUCCCACUGCAAUAGGCUCAGUCUUAAUAUAGAAAUGUUUAGGGCUUUAUUAAGUAACAAUAAUGGAGUACUAUUUAGUUUUUUCAUAAGGGAGUACUCUUAAAAUGUUACUUUUUGGUGGACCACACCACAUUUAACUACCAAAAAGUGAAUUUCUUAAUCUCCGUGCCGAAAACAAAUGAGCCUAUUGGCCUGGGACGGAGGGAGUAGUAUUUAUUGUUUUUUUUUAUAUACAACAUGUUGGGGAUAAUGAUUAGAAAGGAUUGAGCGGUGGAGUGAGGGGACUAGUAGAUUUUUGAAAAUUAAUAAAAAUGGUUUGUUUUGGUGAUGGAUAUGAGUUGAUAUAUACAACAUGUGGAUAAGGAGAAUCUUUGUGCAUACUGCGCAUCGGGCUAGAGUAUGGGCUCUGCGAAUAAAGACAACUCAGUUUCAAUCACGGAAUGAUGAAAAUGGAAUUAUUUAAUGUUUUAUUUAUUCAUUAAUUUCAAGAGAUACAUAUCUUGAAUUUUGGAAACGUCGAAACAAAAUGAAAAUCAUACAGGGUGUAAAGUAAGUAAUAUGCCAAAAAAGUCACCAUUUUUUGGAGAGGGACCUGAGCUUAAUUAUUGAGGUCAGUGGUCCACAAAGAUAAAGUAGAAUCAUUUUUUUUAAAUUUCCAUCUAUCCAUAUAUAUAGACACUUACAUCAGAUAUCAGUAGUACUUAGAAUUACUAGAACUCCACAAGCUUUUUAGGACCAUUUCUUUGACAGUUUUUUAAAUUUAUGACAUUUUUUUUUGGACUUGGACAAAUUUUCAAAAAUUAGGCAUAAGUGGGACAAAUUAAGCCUGAUCGCCGAAUUUUUGAUAUUUUGUCCUGCAACUGUAAGCUCAAAAAUAUUUGUCCUACAUUUGCAAUACAGACAAAGUUACGGUCCUAAAAAAACUUUAGGCUCAAUUAAAAUUUAAUUCAUCAUAUUUUAUUUUCUUGCUCAAUGUAUUAUGUUCAUGUUUCAAAGUUUUUUAUUUCCCUUAAAUAUAUUUUCUACUAUUUUAUAUAAAUAUGAUAGAAAAUAUAAUUUGAAGUAAUUUGUCUAUAAUGUAAACUCAAAAAAUAAAAAAACUAUAUAAAAAAUAAUUUUAUACCUUUUAAAAUAAUUUAUAUUAAUACUCCAUCAGUCCACAAAAAAUAGUACGCCCUUUGAAUAUGAGAACAUUCACACAGAAGAUAUUAAGAUUAUGAGUAGUUUGUUGUUAUUAACAUUAUGCUAAAGUUAUAUAUUAUUAAAGAGAUAGCUUAAAAGCAAAAAAUUAAUCAUAAUUUGCCUUAUAUAUUAUAUACUCCGUAUUAUUUACUAAUUUGUUAAGUUUAGGAACUAUAAGAAAAGAAUGUAAAUAAUUCACCUUAAUUUGCCUCAUUGUAUAUGUUAAAUAUUCAUUAUUAGAAUAUUGAAAACAACAUUCCGAUGACAAAUUGUUGUAUUAUUCAUAUUUGGAUAUUGUGUUGCACAAUAUGAUGAACAAUUUGCGAAACCUAAUUGAAAGGCAAAACAUGAAAUGAGAAUUUUAUGCAUAACCAAUAAUAUGAAUACGCUUAUCUUAGGCUGGUUUACAAAAAUAGGUCAAUUUUUUUUUUAACUUGCCGAAAUUUACCAAUUAUUUUAAAAUUUGACCCAAAUGUGACUUAUAAACGCCAAAUUGGGCCCAAAUACAGCCCAAGAACACCGAAAUUUAAAAUAAUUGACCUAAUUUUACAAGCAAAAAAAAGGCAUAUUUUGUACAAACGGGGUGUAAUCGAACCGAGCCGAACCGAAUAGUGGUGUGCUCAAGUUUGGUUUGUUUUGUAUCGAAUUGAAUCCCGAACUUUACUUACCGAAUACUUUGAGGCUCAUGAGGGGCUCACGAGCCUGAUCGAGCCUAUACGAACUUUCUAAAUUUAUAUUUAUAUUCACAAUAUUGAUUAUUUAUAUUAAAAUAAAUUAUUAUAUUCAAAAUAAUAAAAUAUAUUAAUUAUUUUCUUAUAACAAACAAAAUUAAUUAGAGAUUUAAUACAAUUAUUAUUAAUUUUAGUGGAUAAACAUAAGUUGUAUCUACUAAUAAUUUAUAUUUUUCAAUAUGAAUCACUUGANGGAUAUUUUCCAUUAGUAUUUCUGAUGAAUGCAUUCUUCCAGAGCAAUUCCCAGCUCUUCUCGCGAUCUAGAAGUUCCAUCGUGUGCACAUAUUGAUCAUACUUUGUAAUAAUCUUGUUGCGAGUCGUAACCAAUAAUCUACUCAUUUUAUCUGUGAGAGAAGAGGGUAAUUAAGUAUAAGAAUAUGAGUUGAGAGAUUCGGUAUUGAGAUUCGUUAACUCUUACAAUGAACAUGAAUGUUGCUUGAUAGAAUCAAUCGUAUAUAUAAAUUCUACUAAGUAUAUUUUGCAUUUCAUGUUAUUUAUGCAACAAUAUUUAUCAUUUUCAAGUUCUUUUAAUCAAGUAUUGGGUCAUUUGCAAUUUCUAAACUAAUUGAAUUUUUAAAGGGAUAAUUGCAAUUUAGUAUUUUGAAAUAAUUGAUCUAAACUUAUAUAAACAUUAUGAGAUAUGAAAAUAGAAUUCUAUUAACUUAGUGUCUCGUUAAAUAGAACACCAAGAAGAAGAAAAUUACAAGCGAACCUAAAGCCUUUGUUGGUAGUCUUGCGGAUUCUAAUAUAAUUAAUAAUGAUUAUAACUGGUAAUUCUAAAAUUAAAUUGAGAAUACAAUUAAUUAAUAGUAAUUUAAAUGGAGGAAGAACUCUAAUAUCACAACAUUGAUUAUAUUAUUUUAAUGAAAUUAAAUAUAUAAUCCUAAAAUAAUGUGAAUUUUUUUCAGAGGUAUAAUAUUCCAUCCAUCCUCCGAACACAUUCACAAUUUUCUGUUUUAGCACAUUUUACGAAAAUAUUUAUUUUCCACUUUUGAAUACUAUCGCACCACAGGUCCCUUGUUGUAUAUAUGCCUAUUGUUUCAACAUAUUUACAAUUUUACUACAUGGCUCCCUACAAAUUCUUUAUUUUUUAUUCUCAUUUUCUCAACUUAUUCACAACUUUGCCACAUGGCCCGUCACAAACUCCUUAUUUUUAUAUUCCUUAUAUUACUCUUAAAUUCAAUAAUAUAAAAGAUGUACUCUCCUUCGUCUCACAAAAACAUGAACAUUUGAAAGUGGCACGGAUUUUAAAAAAUAUUAGAUAAAAGUGUAUUAUGAAUGGAAAAGGGGUCCCAUCUAUGAAAAGUAGAAAUAAAAAGUAAAGAAAUUAUGAUGGAGGUAGUGUAUUUUCAUGUUUUUGUGAAACGACCAAAAAUGGCAAAAUAUUCAUGUUUUUGUGGACGGAGUGAGUAUGAUAUAUCAGAACACCAAGCACAAGGUACAAAAGGAAAAAUUGAAUGGUUACCUUGUUGAUUUGGGAAUGCACUCAUGAGAUAUUCUAAAUGUUGUUUCUCCCAAACAUCAUCGAGAACAAUGAAAUAUGAUUUGCCAUCCAAUUGCUUAUGAAGCAUUUGUUUAAGCUCCUCUUGGACAAAUAGUUUAUCCUUCAUCGACUCCUCCAAUUUCGUCAUUUCGUCAAGCAGAUCCUUUUUGUCUUGAUCAGACCUUCGCAGCUGGAAGAUGAGCUGUUUGAUCGUCUCUUGUGGUGUAAAUUCACUCGACACUGCAACCCAGCCACGGCUGUCGAAUCUACCCACGAUGUCGCGGUGGUUGUAUAUUGCCCGGGCAAGUGUAGAUUUGCCUAUCCCACCCAUCCCCUCUAACACGGCAAUCGAAAGCCCCUUCCUCUCCUCAUUAAGAAUUGAUUCUUCCAGCAGUUUUUUUACGUCAUCUUCCACGCCCACCAGGUGUUCGUCGUUUUUCAUAUGAGACAACCGCCGCCGCGAUUCAGCUUGCAAUCUUCCUACAUUUACAAAAUUGUCAAAGUUAUGGGCCUAAAAAAGGAAUAGAGGAAAGAAAAUUUUUAAAAAAUUUAAUGUUUAAAUAAAUAUAACUUUUACAUUUUGAAUCAAAUAUUUACAUAAAAUAUAUCAAAUUAAAGCUCUUAUCAUGAUCUUUAAUUUGAUAUGCAUAUUAAAUAUUUUUUAAUAGUCGAAUUUCACAUUUAAAAAGAAACAAAACACAAAAAUAAAACAUAAUAAAGGAUAUAAAAAGAAAAAAUACUUUUAGAAAUAAGGAAUAUAUUUUAGGCCAGUAACUUUGGCCGUUUUGCAAAUGUAGGAUAAUAUUUUUGGGCUUGCAAUUGCAGGACAAAUUGUUUUUUCAGGCUCAAUUUAUCCUACUUAUGUCGAAUUUUUGAAAUUUUUUACUACAAUUGUAAGUCCAAAAAAUUUUGUCCUACAUUUGCAAAAUGGCCAAAGUUACUGUCUUUUCUCAGGGAUUCGUUCACUCUUACAAAGAACAUGAAUACUAAGUAUAUUUUGCAUUUCAAGUUAUGUAUGCAACAAUAUUUAUCAUUUUCAAGUUUUUUUAAUCAAGUAUUGGGUCAUUUAAAAAAAAUUAUAUGAUCAUACACUAAAACUAAAGAAUUAAGGGAAAAUUGUAUGAAAAUACCCCACUUUAAUCCAAAUUUGAUUUUUUGACAAUCUUUUUUUUUUGUUGCAAAAAUUUGAACGAGCUUUCAAUUUGUUGUAAUGUCCGUCCGGAGAUAUCUUCCAUGCAAUUUUUGGUUGCAAUGUCUAUCAUAUCACUACAUAGAUGCAAUGAAAUGAAAGCCUUACAGGAAGNCAUAACCUUUAAAAUUUGAAAAAAAAAUACACAACCUUUCGAUUUUUUCUGAUUUUCGUCACGGGCAUAAAACACUCUCAAAUAGAAGUUGAUUUUAGAGCUUUUGACUUAUAUUUUUUGAUACAUAAGCGUGGGGGAUAAUAAAGGUGCCAUAAUAAAGCCGACGUACACGCUUAGGUAUCAAAAAAACUAAAUCAAAAGCCCAAAAAUCAGUUUCUAUUUGAGAGUAUUUUAUGUCCGUGGGAAAAAUCAGAAAAAAUCGAAAGGUUGUGUAUUUUUUUUCAAAUUUUAAGGGCUAUGGGAAAAAUCAGAUAUUAUUGAAAGUUCGUGUAUUUUACGGUAAAUAUCCCUUCUAUAAAAACAUUCAUUUUUCUUUUUUGAAUAUUAUCGCUUCACAAACCCCAUACUUUUUAUUCCUAUUUUCUCAACUUAUUUACAAUUUUACCAUAUCGCUCACAACAAAUUCUUUAUUUUCGAUCCUCACAACUUUAUUACAUGGCUCGACACAAACUCCUUAUUUUUUUAUUCCUUACAUUACUCUUAAAUUGAAUAAUACUCCCCCAUCCACGAGAGAACUUGCUGACACGGAGUGAUACGGAUUUUAAGGAAAAAGUUGUUGAGUGUAUUGAGAGUGGAGAAAAAGUUAUUGAGUGUAUUGAGAAUGAUGAAAAUGUAUUUUAAUUAGUAUUGUGAGCGGUAAAAACAUGAAAAAUUAAGGAUAAUGAGAUAUUUAUAAGUGAUUAAGUAUAGUCCAAAAAUAGAUAAGAAGUUCUUUUGUGAACGUCCCAAAAAGGAUAAGUAGGAAGUUCUCUCGUGGACGGCGGUAGUAUAAGAGAUGUAUGAUAUAGCAUAACAACAAGCACAAGCUAGAAAAGGAAAAAUUGAAUGGUUACCUUGUUGAUUUGGGAAAGCACUCAUGAGAGAUUCUAAAUGUUCCUUCUCCCAGACAUCAUCCAGAACAAUGAAAUAUGAUUUGCCAUCCAAUUCCUUAUGAAGCAUUUGUUUAAGCUCCUCUUGGACAAACAGUGUAUCCUUCAUCGACUCCUCCAGUUUCUUUAUUUCGUCAAGCAGCUUCUGUUUGUCUUGAUGAGACCUUUGCAGCUGGAAGAUAAGCUGUUUGAUCGUCUCCUGUGGUGUAAAUUCACUCGACACCACAACCCAGCCACGGCUGUCAAAUCGACCCAAGACGUCGCAGUGGUUGUAUACUGCUCGGGCAAGUGUAGAUUUGCCUAUCCCACCCAUACCCUCUAACACCGCAAUCGAAAGCCCCUUCCUCUCCUCAUUAAGAAUUGAUUCUUCUAGCAGUUUUUUCACAUCCUCUUCCACGCCCACCAGGUGUUCGUCGGUUUUCAAAGGAGACAACCGCCGCCGUGAUUCAACUUGCAAUCUCCACCCUGAGUCCGCCGUCGCCUCCUUGCCAAAAUCUUUAAUGCCAUACCUCUCGCGGCUCUUGUCAAUGGCGUCGAUCUUAGCAAGGAUUGAUUCAAUCUCAUCCCCAAUUCUGUUGAGCUGGUACAUACGCUUCGCGAACUUAGUGCAUCGUUCGAGAAGCCCCUUACUCUUCGAGUUCUCAACGUUGAUGAGGAACAUCUCGAUGGUAUCUUCGGCAUCCUGAGCCACCUCUCUGAUCUCCGAUAUCCAAUUUUGCACAUUCUUGUCUUCAAAUUGCUUUUUGUUGGCGUCUUCCAGAAAGCAUUGCAUCCUCUUGAGCUCGGCUUUCAGGGACUCCACCUUUCCCUCGACGCCUCGUAGGAAUUUCACCUUCUGGAUGAGCUGAUCGCCCAGCAAUUCCACCAAAGAUGAGAUCGCCGCUUCUGCCAUGUUGAUGUCGAUCGAUCUCUUGAUUUCAGAAAAAUGCUCUUUUAAGUGUUGUUCAAAGUUGGUAAUGGUUUAAGUAAAAAAAAAAAAGUCAUAUUGGAUAUAUAUGAUAGUGCCGCUAACAGGGUAUGGUUCCAUGGAGAAUGAUAUAUAUUGAGACAGUGAAGAAUAAUGAAUAAAUCAAUAAAUUUUAUGAAUAAACAAUAUAACCGAUGAACAAAUAAAAUGUAUCUAUUUAAUAUGGUAAAAAUCUCACAUGCAUUCAUCAUUCUCUAAAUAUAUAACAUUUUUCAUGUGGAAUCUUUUUCGCCACUAACAUAAAAUAUUUAUAAAAAAAAGAAUUGUUUGAUUAACCAUUAAAACAAAAUCAACGUUUCGAUUUUCUGUCAAUUUGGUAUUUCUAUGACGGAAUCGAAUCGAAAUAACCGAAUUAGCACAUUUUGUUUUUUAAAUAAUAUUUAUUUCAAAUAAAGUUCCUACUAUUUUUUGUAUUAUGUUAUUAUUAUUGUAGAUCUAGGGCUUGUUGAACAUCACUUAUUUUGUUAGACUAGUAGGUAUUGAAAAUGAUUAAAAUUAAUUUAUUUUUUUGCAUAAAAAAAUAAAGAUUCGGAAAAUUUAAGUAACUUAUUAUUGUGGUUUGGUUAACCAAAAUUUCAAUUUGUUUCAAUUUUUUUCUCAUAAUUUCGGUUAUCAAGCCAACAUAGAACGGGAUAACCGAAUACUCAAUCUGAAUUACCACUCAAUUAUUACCUAAUUAAUAUUAGAUUUUUUUUAAUAUUAAAUUUCAAAAAUGGCUUGUUUUGGUGAUGGUGAUGAGUCAUGAGUUGAUAUAACAUGUCGGGCAUAAUGAGAGUCUCUGUGCAUAGUGCGCAUGAUGGAGUAUGGGCCCUGCCCCUGCGAAUAAAGAUCACUUGGUUUCAAUCACCGAAUGAAAAAUGGGAUGUGUUGAUGUUUUAUUUAUUCAUUAAUUUCAAGACAUACAUAUCUUAUAUCAUGGAGACGUCAAAAGAAAAUGAAAAUGCAUUGUCUGAAAAAUGAAAAUCAUACAGGGUGUAAAGUAAGUAAUAUGCCAAAAUAGUCACCAUUUUUUGGAGAGGGACAUGAGCUUAAUUAUUGAGGUCAGUGGUCCACAAAGAUAAAGUAGAUUCAUUUUUGAAAUUUCCAUCUAUCCAUAUACAAAAACACUUACACCAGAUAUUAGGUUUGGUGCAGAUGAUUAAGGUGUAUAACAUACGUAUGACAUUCUAAUAUUUUAUUUGUUAAGAAAUAAUACGACAUACAUGACCGUUUAUAAAUCAAAUGUCCGAAAAUAUUUAUACAUCACAAUUCGUUUUUCCCUAAAAGAAGUUCAUCAAUUAAACCAACGAUCAAGGGGAUUCCAAAAUCUUAUGGCAUUAGAAUUCUAUUUAAUUUAUUGCAUAUUUUAUUUUAAGGUUAUUUUACAGUAUUAUAAUUUAUUUAAUUUAUAUUAUUUAUUUUAAGGUUAUUUACAGUAUUAUAUAUUUAUAAGAAUAUAUNAAUUUAAGGAUAAUUGUGUUAUUUAAAACUAUAAAAUCUAUAAAAAUAUUAUACAUUAUUAUCACUAUUAUGUACUUGUCUUUUAAUAGAAAAUAGCCUAAAAUGGAUGGAAUGCCCAAAAAAAUUUGUUUGCCAUUAUUACUAUGCUUGUCUUUUAUUAUUAUUAUUCAUUCUAGCUUGUAAUUUAUUGAAAAUAUAUAAUUUAUGAAAAUAUUGUUCGUUAUUAUUGCUAUUAUGCUUGUCUACUAAUAAAAAAUGCCUAAAAUGUACGAAAUAACAAAAAAAAAAGUUUGUAAUGUAUUGAAAUUAAUUUGUAAUAUAUUGAAACUAUAUAGUAUAUGAAAAUGUUGUUCUUUAUAAUUACUAUUAUGCUCGUUUUUAAUAAAAAAUGCUUUAAAAAUACAGAAUGUCCCAAAUAUUUUUGUAAUGUAUUGAAACUAAUUUGUUAUAUAUUUAAAUUAUAUAAUCUAUGAAAAUGUUGUUCUUUAUAUUACAGUGGUGAAAAAGUGUUAUACUAAUUAAUAUUGAGAGUUGUGAAAAGUAAAAAGUAAGAGGAUUAUAAGUGGUGGGGUAUAGUCCAAAAAUAGGUAGGAAGUUCUUUUGUGGACGUCCCAAAAAGGCAAGAUAGGAAGUUCUUUCGUGGACGGAGGGAGUAUAUGUUGAUGUUUUAUUUAUUCAUUAAUUUCAAGACAUACAUAUAUCAUGGAGACGUGAAAAGAAAAUGAAAAUGCAUUGUCUGAAAAAUGAAAAUCAUACAGGGUGUAAAGUUAGUAAUAUGCCAAAAUAGUCAACAUUUUUUGGAGAGGGACAUGAGCUUAAUUAUUGAGGUCAGUGGUCCACAAAGAUAAAGUAGAUUCAUUUUUGAAAUUUCCAUCUAUCCAUAUACGAAAACACUUACAUCAGAUAUUAGCAGUGGCUAGUUUGGUGUUUGGUGCAGAUGAUUAAGGUGUAUAAUAUACGUAUGGCAUUCUAAUAUUUUAUUUGUUAAAAAGUAAUACGAAAUACACGACCAUUUAUAAAAUAAAUGUCCAAAAAUAUUAUAUUGAUUUGAGGGAUUCUGUAUAUCACGUAUGGAGGUGGUAUACAUAUAUAAUAUAAUAAUAAUUAUAACUAUUAUUAACUUUAUAUACUAUUAAUAUAUUAUACCAAACAACAUAUUAUAUUUUACAACUAUUUAAAUGCAUUUUACCAAAUAUGAUAUUAAUAUGACACAUAUAGUAAAAGAUACCCCGAUCAAACAUAUAACGCCUUAUCUCAUACCGCGUACGAAAUGAGCCCUAGUAGUACGAUUAGUAGUACUAGGAACCCAAAGUUUUUUUAGGCCUCGUAACUUUGGUUAUUUUGCAUAUGUAGGACAAAUUUUUUCGGGCUUGCAAUUGCAGGACAAAUUCAGUCAUGUAAUUGCAAGCCCGAAAAAAUUUGUCCUACAUUUACAAAACAACUCAAUUAAAAUUUAAUUCAUCAUCUUGGUGUGCAUUCAUAGGAUAGGCGCUUCCCUAUGCAAACUAGGUAUUCUUCAUUGUUGGAUUCAAGAAAAGACAAUGCAAGAGAGCGAGGUUAUAUUAUGUUCACGUUUUAAAGUUCUUUAUCUCCCUUAAAUAUAUUUCCAACUAUUUUAUAUAAAUAUGAUAAAAAAAAACAAUUCAAAAUAAUUUGUCUAAAAUGUAAAUAAAAAAAGAAAAAAGAAAUUAUGUUUUUUUUCAUGUGAUGGUAGCAUCUGAAACUAGCAAUUUGUCUAAAAUGUACAUUACUUUUAUUAUUAGGAGUCAAUUAUAUGUGAAUGCAAUUGCGCAUAGUGCAAAAUAGGGGAAGAAAAAAAGUUUCUAAUAUAUAUGGAGAGAGGUUAUACAUUCAUUGAGUUGGGUUCAAAAUACGUACCCAAUAGAUCAAAAUCUAUGCUAUAUUAAAAAGUCAAAAUUAACUCAAAUUGAUUUCAAAAUUGAGUGGUAAUUUUAUAGUUAUAAUAAAAUUGAAAGUUUAUUUAUAAACUAGUAUAUUUUUUCUUUUAAUUUAUCUUUUUUUAUUAUUUUAUUUGUUUCUAAAAUUGUGUAAUUCGACGUCUAAUUAUAAAUUAUUUAUAUGCAUAUCAAAUUAAUGAUCACAAUAGGAGCUUUAAUUUGAUAUAUUUUAUAUAAAUAUUUGAUUUAAAAUGUAAAAAUCAUGUUUAUUUAAAGAUUAUGGUGCGUUUACUUUGAUGGAUAAAUUUAUUAUGUGAAAAUGAAGAAUAACAAAAAUUUAUGCCUUUAAAUGCCUCCUUUAUUUUCCCACAUUUUAUACACAAAAGAAGUUCACCAUUUUUUCUUCAACAAAAAAAUGCUACUCCUUCCACCCCCAAAUAACUUCCUAAUUUUUCUUUUUGGUUGGUCUCCUAAAAAAAUUUCCUUUAUAUUUUUGGACUAUAACCCACCACUAAUAAUACCACACUUACCCUUACUUUUUCACAUUUUCACCACCUACGAAGUUAUUUGGGCUCGAGGAAGUAGGGAGUACAAUUUUUCAUAUAUAAUAUUGCUAUUAUAUAUCUAGAUAAUGCUAUUUUAACAUAAACAUAAUGUUUUUUUGUAAUAGAAACUGGUGGAGUUUAUAAAUUUUUGUGAGAGAAGAUGGUUUCUUUUUUUGGAACAAGCCAUUAUCAAUGAGACAGACGAAAAAGGAAAGUGAGCCUUUAUCAAUGAGAAUUGAGGGGAGUGGUAUAUUUUAAAUAGCCAAAAUGAAGUUCGUGCUAAUAGUAUUUCAAUAUUGAUUAGUAUAUUGCUAAGAAAUGUUACUUGGAAAAUUUAUAUAACAAUAUAACGAGUUCAAAAUUUUGUAGGCCACUAACAUAGGGCGCUUUGCAAAAUUAGGCCAUAGUUUUUCGGGCUUGCAAAUUUGGGCCAUUUAUUAUUAAUUUCGGCGUAAGUGAGCCACAUUUGGGCCCGAUCGGACUAUUUUGCACAUUAUACGUGCGUGACUUCACAGUUGGAGUCCGAAUGCUAAUGUGGAAUUUUAAUUCAUUCUUUUAUUUGGCAAAUUUAUAUAUAUGUAAAAAUAAAUAAUAAAAUAAUCCAUAAUUAAAAGACAGAAAUAAAAAAUGAAUUAAAAAAAUAUAUUAAAAAUACACAAAUAAUUGCUUUUUCUCGACGACACACGUAUGGUCGAAAUUAAAUUGCAGAAAUAUAUAUGUUCGUCAAGAUAUCCUAAUGCACCGUAUAAAAAAAUAUAAUACAUAAUACAUAUUUUCCUCAAGAUAACAAUAAUUAUUUAUAUAUUUAUAAAAAGACAGCUUAUACUAUAUAAUAGGAAGCACAAAGAAAAGAUUCAUGACCAAUCACAUUAAAUAGUAGGCCAUAUCGAUGUGAAGCUUAAACCAUAUGCUUUGUAAGCAAUAAGCUACUUGGUUUGGUCCACUCUUCUCUUUCAACAAGGAGACAUUCACUAUUAACAACUAGCUAAUUUGUGGCUCUAAUACCAUGAAUAAAUGUAAAAUAUCAUACUCACUCCGUCCACAAAAAAAUAGUCAUAGAAGAGGACGACACGGGUUUUAAUGAAAAUGGUUGAGUUUAAUUAUUGUGAGUGGAGAAAUAGUCCCACUAAAACAAUAGUAUUGAUAAUGAUAAUUAAAUGUAUUGUGAAUGGGGAUAAGGGCCCACCAUGUGAUAGAAAGUUGUCAAAAGUGAAAAGAGACUAAUUUUUGCGGAAGUCCCAAAAUGGCAAAAAGAGACUAUUUUUUGUGGACGGAUGGAGUAUAACGAAUUAUAACUAAUUAUACAUCCUUAUGGCCUUGAUGUGCCCCCACAGAUUCUUCGCAUCCAGAUUCUCGCAUUUAUGGAUCCGGAGAAGUUUGAGGUGCGGCAUUCCACCUUCUUCUAUAUCGAUACUUCUCAACUCAGACAUGUUCCGGAGGGAGAGGCCCUCGAGGCGGGGGAACCCGUCACGCAACACUUUCAUGCUCCGAUGCUCGUAAGCAUAUUCAGAUAACAUGAGAUACUGCAGCUUCGGCAGCUUACCCAAUUCCGGCAUCGGAUCCUUAAUUAGCUUUGCAUACUCCAACGUAAGGUGAGUAAGAUUUGGAGGGAAUUUACUCGCAUCCGGACAUCCAUGCAUCUUACCGUGUAGUUUGAGUUUUGUGAUGCUGCCGAGCUGGGGAAUGAUGUUUGAGUUGAACAACAAUGAGUUGCAUUUUAG
RNAcentral lists this long non-coding RNA (17410 nucleotides) under Salvia miltiorrhiza (redroot sage). Its description in RNAcentral is "long non-coding RNA (SMIL_LNC006874)". The record is from RNAcentral. Lineage: Eukaryota; Viridiplantae; Streptophyta; Magnoliopsida; Lamiales; Lamiaceae.